UACGUAGGGGGCAAGCGUUGUCCGGAAUCAUUGGGCGUAAAGAGCGUGUAGGCGGCCCGAUAAGUCCGCUGUGAAAGUCCAGGGCUCAACCCUGGAAUGCCGGUGGAUACUGUCGGGCUCGAAUCCGGAAGAGGUGAGUGGAAUUCCUGGUGUAGCGGUGAAAUGCGCAGAUAUCAGGAGGAACACCAAUGGCGAAGGCAGCUCGCUGGGACGUGACUGACGCUGAGACGCGAAAGCGUGGGGAGCAAACAGG
RNAcentral lists this ribosomal RNA (253 nucleotides) under uncultured bacterium. RNAcentral describes it as "partial 16S ribosomal RNA". It matches the Rfam family "Bacterial small subunit ribosomal RNA", at positions 524 to 776 of the family's 1533-position model. The record is from RNAcentral.